Molecule: long non-coding RNA, 662 nt
Organism: Eubalaena glacialis (North Atlantic right whale)
Lineage: Eukaryota; Metazoa; Chordata; Mammalia; Artiodactyla; Balaenidae
Exons: 5
Source: RefSeq, a predicted model, not a curated record
GUAAGAAAGCUCUCUCGGCCCCUCGGCGUCUCCUCGCACGUUUCCAAAUGGCAGGGCCUGGUGUCCGUGACUGGGGUGCCCACUGUGAGGGCCCGCACUGAAAAUCCCUGACACUGACAUACGUGAAUCAUGGGCAUCUUGGAAAGGCCUCAAAACGCGGCUGAAACACUGAAAUUUCACCCUUAAUGAGCUGAGGCAAGACUGGUCGAGUUGGAAAGAGAGACUCUUUUCAAUGUGGCUGCUGAAAUGAAGGGAGGAAGUCUGCAGUUUCUUAUUGCCUCCUUAUCAUCAUGAGGAAAAAGCCAGCGCAAGAAUGGAGCAAACUGGGAGCGAAGCAGAACCAAUAGAUCACAAGCACAAAACCAAGUCCUGAUGACAUUGUUUGCGCUCCUUGAUCCAGAACUUGAUCUGCACCUAGUGACUCAUUCGUCUUGUGGCUGCCUCUGGAUUCGUGAGUAUGGUGCCUAGAAAGAAAUAACCAACAAAUCAAAGUCUAUUUCAUUGAUGCACAUGUUGGCACCCUUUGAAAGAUCCAGAAAUCCACAUGUUGAACAUGAAUCUAGGGCUGCGGUUGCUGCAACGGUAUCUUCCACAACUUGAUUUUCUAUAAUAUCAAUUACUCAGGUGCGAAUUUGCAUGGAAAUUGCUGCUCUGUGUUGGCA